CAUGCAGGCAGGGGGUGUUCUUUCAGGGUCCAGGAGACUAGACUAGGAGACUGAUUGUUAAAUAUGGGAGCUCUGCGCCAGCAUCCUGAGUUAGCAGAAGCCUGCAAUGGUGAUACAGACAAAAUCCACAUCAGAAUGAGGAAAGGAGAGUAAAGACACAUCAGAGACUGAGCUGGGCAGCAAUGGUUCAUGCUGUACAAAGCCGUGACACCAUCUUUAGACUCCAAGGAAUAGGAGAGGCUUUAUAAUCUGACAGAUCAGAGGAUUGGAAGCAUUAUCGCAACUUCCUGAUAGGAUUCUCUGGAGGGCCUGCCUGGCUUAUUGUUUGGACUGCCCACCUGCCAUUUGCUGCCUCUCAUUAUAUAAACAUGCUACUGUGCGCUGCAAUGGGGAGUGCCGCAGAUCAGCUCUUCCUGCAUGACACAGGACUGCUUUAAGAUGAAAAAAGCCAGGAGAGGGCACCCAGGAUCAACUCCAAGCCCCUGCAUCUCCUCACCUUUUCUCUACAAAGCGCUGCAUUCCUAUCUUCAGUAGAUGUGAUUGAAUGCCAUACCAUGCUAUUAGUUUAGACCCUAAUUCUGCUUGGGUCAAUCUGAUUGAUGUACCAGUGCUAUACUCAAUAAAGUCUUUGGAAACAAAGUGUGGCCAUUUCCAGCAAAGGACACUUUAGCUAUUGGUUGGAGGAAGUUUUUGUUUAAGUGAGAAAACAAAUAGAUUCUCUGGUCCCUUUCUGCCAGCCCUGUCAAGUGCAUGCAGUGUGCUGAAUAGGAUUUAUCACAGGCUAAGGGUGGGACAUUUUGUGGGUUGUCUCUUCCGGACAGACAUUUCAGGCUGAACUGUUUAAUUAGUUUAAAUGCUGCUGUACUGAAGUGUGGGUGAAUUAUGUGCAAAUAUAUCUGAGGUCUUGCAUUUCUUGGGCUGCCAAAAGUUGGUAGUGGUGUCGAAAGCAAUGAAAUGGAAACAAUUUUUAAUAGCUAUAAAAGUGUUCCCAAGGUUAGAUUGCUAAAUUGUAAUAGCAGUUUAAUGAAUAUUUAUUUGAAAAAUACUAUAACUUUGGAAUCACAAUUUAGGAAAAAAUGUCCAGAUGUUUAUAUUUGCAAAGUUAAGUUAAUAGCAUGCUAUUAUAUAAUACAGCACAAGUGAAAAUGUUUUGUACACAUCAGCCACUCUUUUAAAACCACACUUUACUGAAUAAAAAUACACAGUAGGAAAAGCCAU
Mauremys reevesii (Reeves's turtle) is the source of this 1218-nucleotide long non-coding RNA. RefSeq lists it as uncharacterized. NCBI's taxonomy places the organism in Eukaryota, Metazoa, Chordata, Testudines, Geoemydidae. The transcript has 2 exons. The record is from RefSeq and is a predicted model, not a curated record.